RNAcentral lists this long non-coding RNA (489 nucleotides) under Callithrix jacchus (white-tufted-ear marmoset). RNAcentral's name for it is "lncRNA (ENSCJAG00000071277.1)". Lineage: Eukaryota; Metazoa; Chordata; Mammalia; Primates; Cebidae. The record is from RNAcentral.
CUUUCUGCCACUACACGCCAGUUGGAGCUGGAUCAUCAAGGUGUGGGGAGAAAGCCACAGGGAGCUGAAAAGUUUCCUUGCCAAUACUGAAUGUAGUCCAUCCUCUCCGCUCCUCAUCUGCCUGAAGGUGGAGACAAGGGGAAAGAUGAAGAGAAAGGCAGGUGGUUACAAUAGAAAUCUAAGCAACCGAAGACUCUUCUACUUACCCCUGGCAAUUGAUGAUAUGCUCCGAAGAUGCUCUUGAAGAAGGGCUAGAUGACUGUUGGUGUAUCUCAUGCUGGCCAUGAUGCUUGGAGUCGAUUCGCAAAAUCGUCUGAGUCCAAAAACUCUCUGGAACCUAAGCAGACUCCCAUGGAUCUUUUUUGGUUUAGAUGCUUACCAGUGUACAUGACCUUGGACAAGUCAGUUAAAUCUGUGCCUCAGCUUCCUGGAUGUCAAAAUGAGCACAGUAACACCCCUCCGGAAAGGAUGUUAUAAAGAUACUACGAG